Molecule: ribosomal RNA, 273 nt
Filed under: Escherichia coli
Lineage: Bacteria; Pseudomonadati; Pseudomonadota; Gammaproteobacteria; Enterobacterales; Enterobacteriaceae
Description: partial 23S ribosomal RNA
Rfam family: Bacterial large subunit ribosomal RNA
Source: RNAcentral
GGCUGCUCCUAGUACGAGAGGACCGGAGUGGACGCAUCACUGGUGUUCGGGUUGUCAUGCCAAUGGCACUGCCCGGUAGCUAAAUGCGGAAGAGAUAAGUGCUGAAAGCAUCUAAGCACGAAACUUGCCCCGAGAUGAGUUCUCCCUGACCCUUUAAGGGUCCUGAAGGAACGUUGAAGACGACGACGUUGAUAGGCCGGGUGUGUAAGCGCAGCGAUGCGUUGAGCUAACCGGUACUAAUGAACCGUGAGGCUUAACCUUACAACGCCGAAG